GAGCCAUUAGCUCAGUUGGUAGAGCAUCUGACUUUUAAUCAGAGGG
This 46-nucleotide transfer RNA is filed under the name Lysinibacillus odysseyi 34hs-1 = NBRC 100172. It matches the Rfam family "tRNA", at positions 1 to 45 of the family's 71-position model. Rfam says of the family: Transfer RNA (tRNA) molecules are approximately 80 nucleotides in length. Their secondary structure includes four short double-helical elements and three loops (D, anti-codon, and T loops). Further hydrogen bonds mediate the characteristic L-shaped molecular structure. tRNAs have two regions of fundamental functional importance: the anti-codon, which is responsible for specific mRNA codon recognition, and the 3' end, to which the tRNAs corresponding amino acid is attached (by aminoacyl-tRNA synthetases). tRNAs cope with the degeneracy of the genetic code in two manners: having more than one tRNA (with a specific anti-codon) for a particular amino acid; and 'wobble' base-pairing, i.e. permitting non-standard base-pairing at the 3rd anti-codon position. RNAcentral also lists the same sequence under 1 other name. Lineage: Bacteria; Bacillati; Bacillota; Bacilli; Caryophanales; Bacillaceae. The record is from Rfam by way of RNAcentral.